Molecule: ribosomal RNA, 253 nt
Filed under: uncultured bacterium
Lineage: Bacteria
Description: partial 16S ribosomal RNA
Rfam family: Bacterial small subunit ribosomal RNA
Source: RNAcentral
UACGUAGGGGGCAAGCGUUGUCCGGAAUUAUUGGGCGUAAAGAGCGUGUAGGCGGCCAGAUAAGUCCGCUGUGAAAUCUUGAGGCUCAACUUCGAGCUGUCGGUGGAAACUAUCUGGCUAGAGUCCGGAAGAGGAGAAUGGAAUUCCUGGUGUAGCGGUGAAAUGCGCAGAUAUCAGGAAGAACACCCGUGGCGAAGGCGGUUCUCUGGGACGGUACUGACGCUGAGACGCGAAAGCGUGGGGAGCGAACAGG